GCCUGAGGGACCGUUUCUUAGGAGGAAAAGGCGCAGCAUCCCACAAUGCACAUGCGCCCCCAAAGCCUUAUGGGUCUUGUAGUUUCCAGGGCAGCGGACUGGGGGUCAGCUUGGGAUAGGCGUUACCUGGAGCUGGGUUCGGUCCAGAGGGAAGAUCUCCUAGCCUGUGAGCGGCGAAGUUUACUGGAGUCAGGGAUGGGGUCCGGACAGGUCCAGCUCUUGGCCAUUAAAUCCCACCCCCAUGUCUCUUGUAGGGAUCCUGUGCUUACUAACAUUCCGAAGUCGUGUUAGCAGUGACCUCCUCCAGUGUGGUGCUUUAGCUGCUUGAGAAGCCGUUUUCUUUUUCUUUUCUUUCUUUUUUCUUCCUUCUUUCCUCCUCCCUUCCGAGAAAGGGUUCCACUAUAUAGUCUUGUCUGGCCUGAACUCCCUGUGUGGACCAAGCUCGCCUCCCAACUUUGUAAAGAGAUCCCCCAAUCUCAGUGCAGAGAACUUGUCUUGGUGACAGGUUUUGUUCGUGUGACAUUGAGGAUGAAGACCAGCUUUGGGGGCUUCUAAUAACCUGAGUCUUUUGCCUCCAUAGUGGCACACGUGUAGGAUACCAGCAAAUGCCUGUUGGCUAAAUGAAUAAUGUUGAGGGUGGUAAUGACCUUUCACUUUCACAUCCACCUGUUCUCGUAGCUUCCUCACCUCACCCUCAAUUGACGGUAUUUGUUCCAAAUGUUGUAGAUUCCCCAGUUCCAUCCCUAGAGAGGUGAUUCGAAUGUCUUGGCACAAACAAGGACGCUACAUCACACGUCUUCUAAAAACCAAAUGGAGCUAGAUACAGGUCCACACUUAGGAUCCCAGCACUUAAGACACUGCGGCAGGAAAUCCAGUUCUAAGACCUGAGCACAGACUGCAGCUCUGAAAAGGCAAACAAUAAAGGAGUACGGUUUUGCCAGUUGCGUGUGACGCUUGGGAUUCUGGGAACGUCUCAGAUGGCCCCGUCUCUUUCAUGUCCAGUGUCUGACCACCAAACUGCUUUGUGUGACUCAAACUAUGACUCUCAGUUCUACCAGACAGCUUCGUCUACUUGCACGAGGACACUUCCUGUGCUUAUACAGUAGCCAUUAGCUACAGGUAACUAUAUUUUGUUUUGUUCUGUUUCUGAGACAACGUCUCACACCACAUAGCUCUGGCUGUC
Long non-coding RNA from Meriones unguiculatus (Mongolian gerbil), 1183 nucleotides. RefSeq lists it as uncharacterized. The transcript is spliced from 3 exons. The record is from RefSeq and is a predicted model, not a curated record. NCBI's taxonomy places the organism in Eukaryota, Metazoa, Chordata, Mammalia, Rodentia, Muridae.